AGAGUUUGAUCCUGGCUCAGGAUGAACGCUGGCGGCGUGCCUAAUACAUGCAAGUCGAACGAGCUCUUCGGAGCUAGUGGCGGACGGGUGAGUAACACGUUGGUACCUACCCCGAAGUGGGGAAUAACUGGCCGAAAGGUCGGCUAAUACCGCAUAAUACCGCAAGGUUAAAGGAGUAAUCCGCUUCGGGAGGGGCCUGCGUCCCAUUAGCUUGUUGGUAGUGUAAUGGACUACCAAGGCGACGAUGGGUAGCUGGAUCGAGAGGUUGACCAGCCACACUGGGACUGAGAUACGGCCCAGACUCCUACGGGAGGCAGCAGUAAGGAAUCUUCCACAAUGGACGAAAGUCUGAUGGAGCAACGCCGCGUGCAGGAUGACGGUCUUCGGAUUGUAAACUGCUUUUAUAAGGGAAGAUUAUGACGGUACCUUAUGAAUAAGCACCGGCUAACUACGUGCCAGCCGCCGCGGUAAUAC
Molecule: ribosomal RNA, 474 nt
Filed under: uncultured bacterium
Lineage: Bacteria
Description: bacterial SSU rRNA
Rfam family: Bacterial small subunit ribosomal RNA
Source: RNAcentral